RNAcentral lists this ribosomal RNA (511 nucleotides) under uncultured bacterium. RNAcentral's name for it is "partial 16S ribosomal RNA". It matches the Rfam family "Bacterial small subunit ribosomal RNA", at positions 28 to 523 of the family's 1533-position model. The record is from RNAcentral.
GACGAACGCUGGCGGCGUGCCUAAUACAUGCAAGUCGAGCGGAAGUUGAAGAGCUUGCUCUUCAACUUUAGCGGCGGACGGGUGAGUAACACGUGGGCAACCUGCCCUGCAGAUCGGGAUAACUCCGGGAAACCGGUGCUAAUACCGAAUAGUUUUGGGUCCCUCCUGGGACCUAACGGAAAGACGGUUUCGGCUGUCACUGCAGGAUGGGCCCGCGGCGCAUUAGCUGGUUGGUGGGGUAACGGCCCACCAAGGCGACGAUGCGUAGCCGACCUGAGAGGGUGAUCGGCCACGCUGGGACUGGGACACGGCCCAGACUCCUACGGGAGGCAGCAGUAGGGAAUCUUCCGCAAUGGACGCAAGUCUGACGGAGCAACGCCGCGUGAGUGAUGAAGGUUUUCGGAUCGUAAAACUCUGUUGCGAGGGAAGAAACCGUGCCAAUUAACUACUGGCACCUUGACGGUACCUCGCCAGAAAGCCACGGCUAACUACGUGCCAGCCGCCGCAGUAA